UAUCCGUUGGUGAACCAGCGGAGGGAUCAUUACUGAGUUACCGCUCUACAACCCUUUGUGAACAUACCUAACUGUUGCUUCGGCGGGCAGAGGUCCCUCGCGGAUCUCUCCCGGCAACGCCCUCACGGGCGGAGCGCCCGCCGGAGGAUACCAAACUCUAUUUUAACGACGUUUCUUCUGAGUGGCACAAGCAAAUAAUUAAAACUUUUAACAACGGAUCUCUUGGUUCUG
Molecule: unclassified non-coding RNA, 231 nt
Filed under: plant metagenome
Description: partial contains small subunit ribosomal RNA, internal transcribed spacer 1, and 5.8S ribosomal RNA
Source: RNAcentral